RNAcentral lists this ribosomal RNA (445 nucleotides) under uncultured bacterium. RNAcentral's name for it is "bacterial SSU rRNA". It matches the Rfam family "Bacterial small subunit ribosomal RNA", at positions 8 to 455 of the family's 1533-position model. The record is from RNAcentral.
AGAGUUUGAUCCUGGCUCAGAUUGAACGCUGGCGGAAUGCUUUACACAUGCAAGUCGAACGGCAGCACGGGGGCAACCCUGGUGGCGAGUGGCGAACGGGUGAGUAAUACAUCGGAACGUGCCCAGUCGUGGGGGAUAACGUAGCGAAAGCUACGCUAAUACCGCAUACGAUCUACGGAUGAAAGCGGGGGAUCGCAAGACCUCGCGCGAUUGGAGCGGCCGAUGGCAGAUUAGGUAGUUGGUGGGGUAAAGGCUCACCAAGCCUGCGAUCUGUAGCUGGUCUGAGAGGACGACCAGCCACACUGGGACUGAGACACGGCCCAGACUCCUACGGGAGGCAGCAGUGGGGAAUUUUGGACAAUGGGCGCAAGCCUGAUCCAGCCAUUCCGCGUGCAGGAUGAAGGCCUUCGGGUUGUAAACUGCUUUUGUACGGAGCGAAAAGGUC